This 72-nucleotide transfer RNA is filed under the name Parapedobacter indicus. It matches the Rfam family "tRNA". Rfam says of the family: Transfer RNA (tRNA) molecules are approximately 80 nucleotides in length. Their secondary structure includes four short double-helical elements and three loops (D, anti-codon, and T loops). The record is from Rfam by way of RNAcentral. Lineage: Bacteria; Pseudomonadati; Bacteroidota; Sphingobacteriia; Sphingobacteriales; Sphingobacteriaceae.
UGCGGGGUAGAGCAGCGGUAGCUCGUGAGUCUCAUAAUCUCAAGGUCAUCGGUUCGAUUCCGAUCUCCGCUA